GGGAGCUGAUUUCCGGUAGACCCGCAGACUCUUAAUCAGCGGGUCCCAGGUUCGAGCCCUGGUGCGCCCACCA
RNAcentral lists this transfer RNA (73 nucleotides) under Bradyrhizobium sp. SBR1B. RNAcentral describes it as "tRNA-Lys". The record is from RNAcentral. Lineage: Bacteria; Pseudomonadati; Pseudomonadota; Alphaproteobacteria; Hyphomicrobiales; Nitrobacteraceae.